Oncorhynchus masou masou (cherry salmon) is the source of this 626-nucleotide long non-coding RNA. RefSeq lists it as uncharacterized. The transcript is spliced from 3 exons. NCBI's taxonomy places the organism in Eukaryota, Metazoa, Chordata, Actinopteri, Salmoniformes, Salmonidae. The record is from RefSeq and is a predicted model, not a curated record.
GUGAAAGGUGUGUCUCAGUAUAGGACUGAGGUGUAGAUUGUUCUGUAAAAACGUGUAGAUAUGCACAUAUAGUGACUAUUAGAGUGGUUAUGGAUUUAAAUCAACUAUUUUGAAUGUGAAGUGGAGGACGUGAAGACCAGUAAAGUUAAAAUGGCAGAGUCCAGAGUUCAUAAUCAGUUUAAACUCACCUCAGAAGACAAUGUGUGGGCUUAUAGUGGUGUAGAGGUCACCCUCCCCUGUCACCUCUCACCUGACACCAGUGCUGUUGCCACGACGAUCAGGUGGUUUAAGGAGACAGAGUGUAUUUACCUGUAUAAGAAUGGCCAGGUGACCGAGAGGAGUGACUAUGAGGGCAGAGUGAGUCUGAUCACCCAGGAGCUGGAGAGAGGCAACGUGUCUCUGACGCUGAGACACUUCGGGAGGUCAGAUAGAGGAGUCUACAUCUGUCAGGUCAUCCAUGGAGAACAGAAGGUGGAGGCUGCAGUGGGUUUAAGGGACAGAGGAGGUAAGUGUUCUAGAACUCCAGUAAUGUUUCUAAACACCUAAACAACAACAAUAACAACCAGUCUCUUUCCCUGUACAGAACACUUGUACUUUCUCAUGUAGGUAGGAGUUCAUAGUAGGAG